RNAcentral lists this ribosomal RNA (433 nucleotides) under uncultured bacterium. RNAcentral describes it as "partial 16S ribosomal RNA". It matches the Rfam family "Bacterial small subunit ribosomal RNA", at positions 29 to 507 of the family's 1533-position model. The record is from RNAcentral.
AACGAACGCUGGCGGCAUGCCUAACACAUGCCAGUCGAACGAGACCUUCGGGUCUAGUGGCGCACGGGUGCGUAACGCGUGGGAACCUGCCCUUAGGUUCGGAAUAACUCCCCGAAAGGGGUGCUAAUACCGGCUAAUGUCUUCGGACCAAAGAUUUAUCGCCUUUGGAUGGGCCCGCGUUGGAUUAGCUAGUUGGUAGGGUAAAAGCCUACCAAGGCGACGAUCCAUAGCUGGUCUGAGAGGAUGAUCAGCCACACUGGGACUGAGACACGGCCCAGACUCCUACGGGAGGCAGCAGUGGGGAAUAUUGGACAAUGGGCGAAAGCCUGAUCCAGCAAUGCCGCGUGAGUGAUGAAGGCCUUAGGGUUGUAAAGCUCUUUUACCCGGGAUGAUAAUGACAGUACCGGGAGAAUAAGCACCGGCUAACUCCGUG